Amphiprion ocellaris (clown anemonefish) is the source of this 762-nucleotide long non-coding RNA. RefSeq lists it as uncharacterized. The record is from RefSeq and is a predicted model, not a curated record. The transcript has 3 exons. NCBI's taxonomy places the organism in Eukaryota, Metazoa, Chordata, Actinopteri, Pomacentridae.
UGUUGUGCAUCUGUUGUAAGAUGUGUUUGUUAUAUUAGUGCACUUUUACGUGGGCAUUAUUUAUUCAUUCCUUUUUUGCUGAUCAGAGUUUUUAUUCCAGUUUGUCCACUUCUAGGACUAGAGAGAAUGCUGCUGAAUGUGUUCCAGGAACCUGAAAAUCUCCACAACUCAGAACCACACUGACCAGAAAGUAGCUAAUAGCAGGAAGAGGAGCCAGAUACCACAGAAACUCCUGUUGUUCUCCUCACCUUCAGCUGUUCGUUUAACACCUUUCACCCACGUCACAUAUUCACCUGUUCACCGCGGCGGCUGCAUGGAGAGGGGGCGAAGAUGACCUUGACUUCUUCGUAGGAUAGGGUGAAUGAACCAGUCCAGUGGUUUCGUCUACGCAGUCCGCCAGAGCCAGUCUUCACAUGCAAAUAUAGACUGUGUCGAGUAUGAUCACCUGAGGGUUUCAGACCGACCGGCUACCCUCCAUCUGGUUUAGCCCGCCUGCCUCAACCCUUGGCCGGAGUGUGGCCGCUGCGCAUGCUACAGCUUCGAGGAGCCACAGGUGAGAGCAGAGUGUCAGGUGGGAGCAAACAUUGUCCGGGUUAUCCUGAAAGGGGGCAUGGCAAGCCCUCCUACAGAGGUACUAUCCCUCCCUGAACACCCCAUACACCCCCAAAAACAUGUACUCAAAACAUAAUGGUGUAAACUUAAGGUAUUAUAACUUUUAACAUAUAUCAGAAUAAUAGGCAUGAAAUCCAUCACAAAAUAAUA